RNAcentral lists this ribosomal RNA (448 nucleotides) under Salmonella enterica. RNAcentral describes it as "partial 23S ribosomal RNA". It matches the Rfam family "Bacterial large subunit ribosomal RNA", at positions 745 to 1191 of the family's 2925-position model. RNAcentral also lists the same sequence under 2 other names. Lineage: Bacteria; Pseudomonadati; Pseudomonadota; Gammaproteobacteria; Enterobacterales; Enterobacteriaceae. The record is from RNAcentral.
UUGAAGGUUGGGUAACACUAACUGGAGGACCGAACCGACUAAUGUUGAAAAAUUAGCGGAUGACCUGUGGCUGGGGGUGAAAGGCCAAUCAAACCGGGAGAUAGCUGGUUCUCCCCGAAAGCUAUUUAGGUAGCGCCUCGUGAAUUCAUCUCCGGGGGUAGAGCACUGUUUCGGCUAGGGGGCCAUCCCGGCUUACCAACCCGAUGCAAACUGCGAAUACCGGAGAAUGUUAUCACGGGAGACACACGGCGGGUGCUAACGUCCGUCGUGAAGAGGGAAACAACCCAGACCGCCAGCUAAGGUCCCAAAGUCAUGGUUAAGUGGGAAACGAUGUGGGAAGGCCCAGACAGCCAGGAUGUUGGCUUAGAAGCAGCCAUCAUUUAAAGAAAGCGUAAUAGCUCACUGGUCGAGUCGGCCUGCGCGGAAGAUGUAACGGGGCUAAACCAUG